CAAUAGCGUAUAUUAAAGUUGUUGCAGUUAAAAAGCUCGUAGUUGGAUUUGUGGCGUACGGUGUGUUCCGGGCACUUGUUGUCUGAGUAACCUGCUGUUGCCAUCCUUGGGUGGAACCUGUGUGGCAUUAGGUUGUCGUGCAGGGGAUGCCCAUCAUUUACUGUUAAAAAAUUAGAGUGUUCAAAGCAGGCUUAUGCCGUUGAAUAUAUUAGCAUGGAAUAAUGAGAUAGGACUUUUUUGCUAUUUUGUUGGUUUGCGCAAAGAGGUAAUGAUUAAUAGGGACAGUUGGGGGUAUUCGUAUUCCAUUGUCAGAGGUGAAAUUCUUGGAUUUUUGGAAGACGAACUACUGCGAAAGCAUUUACCAAGGAUGUUUUCAUUAA
RNAcentral lists this ribosomal RNA (380 nucleotides) under uncultured eukaryote. Its description in RNAcentral is "partial 18S ribosomal RNA". It matches the Rfam family "Eukaryotic small subunit ribosomal RNA", at positions 592 to 976 of the family's 1831-position model. The record is from RNAcentral.